CCUACGGGAGGCAGCAGUAGGGAAUAUUGCUCAAUGGGGGAAACCCUGAAGCAGCAACGCCGCGUGGAGGAUGAAGGUUUUCGGAUUGUAAAAUCCUUUUGUUAGAGAAGAUAAUGACGGUAUCUAACGAAUAAGCACCGGCUAACUCCGUGCCAGCAGCCGCGGUAAUACGGAGGGUGCAAGCGUUACUCGGAAUCACUGGGCGUAAAGAGCGCGUAGGCGGGAUAGCAAGUCAGAUGUGAAAUCCUAUGGCUUAACCAUAGAACUGCAUUUGAAACUGUUAUUCUAGAGUAUGGGAGAGGUAGGUGGAAUUCUUGGUGUAGGGGUAAAAUGCGUAGAGAUCAAGAGGAAUACUCAUUGCGAAGGCGACCUGCUAGAACAUAACUGACGCUGAUGCGCGAAAGCGUGGGGAGCAAACAGGAUUAGAUACCCUAGUAGUC
This 440-nucleotide ribosomal RNA is filed under the name uncultured bacterium. Its description in RNAcentral is "partial 16S ribosomal RNA". It matches the Rfam family "Bacterial small subunit ribosomal RNA", at positions 338 to 795 of the family's 1533-position model. The record is from RNAcentral.